UGGUAGCUUUCUAUGUGGCGCUGCAAUGAAGAACUCCGUGCACGUGCAGAUGAACUUCACAGCACUUCCAAAAGAGAUGCAAAGCAUUACAUUGGUAUGUUCUUUUUAUUUUUAGUUUGAACUGACAUACUUAUUCAAAUAUUUCCCCAUCACUGGUGAUAGCAUUUAUUUAUUUUCUUCAUUUACCUUUUGUAUUCUUUUUGGUGAUUCCAGUCAUCAUCUAACUAUGUCUGUGGUCUUUAAUCUUUAUAGUUUCAUUGAUAUUAUAAGUCUGCAUACUUGUACCCCUUUUCCAUUAUCUUUAAUACAUUCUUUUGAUCUAAUCUUGUGCUCCUUGAAUAAUUCUUUCCCUUAUUAUGAAGGUGCUAGUAAAUGGUAAUUAAUCUGGGAGUAGAUUGUAUUAUUUAAUUCUUCUUAAAAAUUCAAAUAUGACGGGUUUCUGUUUGUCUUGUUGAUAGUUCUUCUCAUGUUUGAUACCAGAGUUCUGGAAGCAAAUUCCGCCAAAUGAACCAUAUCGUGUUAUUCUUGCUGAUGUGAGGGACAAGCUGUAUCAUACACGUGAACGUGCUCGUCAAUUGCUAGCCAAUGGAAUCUCUGAUAUUCCAGAGACAAGCUGUAUCAUACACGUGAACGUGCUCGUCAAUUGCUAGCCAAUGGAAUCUCUGAUAUUCCAGAGGAGGCAACCUUCAUCAAUGUUGAUGAGGUCUGGCCCUGACAAGAACUUGUAUCUUCGCUAAUUCGCUCACAUUUUUAAUUUUCAGAUUGCAAGUUGUGAACAAAUUGACUGAAUAUUUUUGAAACAUUAGAUGUAUCAUAGAGACUCAUUAUUACUGUCAUUGCUUUAUUAUGCGCAAUUGCCUGUGGGCUUGAUCAACAAUCUCUGUGGAUUAGUAUAUUAUCACUCUAUGCCAACUCAUUCUACAGCACACACUUCUAUAGAUGAUAAAAAUAAAAGCAAACAAAUCCCUUUUACCUUGUACAGUGUAUAGGUUAUUUUAAGUGGCAAGUAAUUAAUUAAUUGGUUCGAUCCAUCUCACUUCUAGGUUUGUUUUGAACUACUCACAAAUGGAGAAUUUAAGUAUGUUAAAUGAAUUUAUGCUUUUUGAGAGUGAAAGUUUCUGAUAGAAGAGGGUAAAUAACCAACAUCCUAAUGGAAUACUGUUGAAAUGUCUCCUCAGAGGAACUAGUGCUGAUGAAUGUAGUGAUGGAUGCAGUGCCAUAUUGACAAUAGAACGUAACUAAUUGAAGAUACUCGUACACAAGAAACCAAUUAGAGGAGAAAUUAAAUUCUGAAGAAUUUAAUGAUGGAUUUGUCAUAUAAAUAGUAUACCUUUAUAACAAACAUUGAAUAUGCAUUUAGCUUGCAUUUUAUUUCUUUAGUUUAUUUGUGAUCCAUGAACACCAAAAAUAGUAAAGUUGCAAGAAAAUAGAACUGUUGUGUUGUGUAAUGUUUAUGUAAUUCUGCAUACUGAUGAUUCAUUUUCUUCAUCUUCAGUUUCUUGAGCCUCUUAAGCUGUGUUAUAGAUCACUCAGUGAUUGCGGUGAUCGGCCAAUUGCCGAUGGAAGCCUUCUUGAUUUCUUACGACAAGUUUCAACGUUUGGGCUUGCACUCGUGAGGCUUGAUAUAAGGCAAGAGUCAGAUAGGCACACUGAUGUUCUAGAUGCUAUUACAAGGCACCUGGAGAUCGGGUCGUACAAAGAAUGGUCAGAAGAACGCAGACAGGAGUGGCUUUUAUCUGAACUUAGUGGCAAACGCCCUCUUGUUGGGCCCGAUCUUCCCAAAAUCGAAGAAAUUGUUGAUGUCUUAGAAACCUUUCAUGUCAUUGCUGAACUCCCGUCGGAUAACUUUGGGGCCUACAUAAUUUCCAUGGCAACUGCCCCCUCUGAUGUCCUUGCAGUAGAGCUUUUACAACGCGAGUGCCAUGUCAAAAAUCCUCUAAGGGUGGUCCCAUUGUUUGAAAAGCUUGAUGAUCUUGAGGCUGCACCUGCUGCUGUGGCUCGGCUUUUCUCAAUAGAUUGGUAUCGUAAUAGGAUUAAUGGGAAACAAGAAGUCAUGAUUGGGUAUUCGGAUUCAGGAAAGGAUGCUGGACGGCUUUCUGCAGCAUGGCAGUUAUAUAAGGCCCAGGAGGAGCUUAUAAAGGUCGCAAAACAAUAUGGCGUAAAGCUCACAAUGUUUCAUGGCCGAGGUGGGACGAUUGGAAGAGGAGGCGGCCCAACCCAUCUUGCUAUAUUAUCUCAGCCACCGGACACCAUUCAUGGCUCGCUUCGUGUCACUGUUCAAGGUGAAGUUAUUGAACAAUCAUUUGGCGAGGAGCACUUAUGUUUCAGAACGCUCCAACGUUUUACUGCAGCUACACUUGAGCAUGGAAUGCGCCCCCCUGUUGCACCGAAGCCAGAAUGGCGUGCUCUCAUGGAUGAGAUGGCUGUGUUUGCCACAAAAGAGUAUCGUUCUGUGGUUUUCCAGGAACCUAGAUUUGUUGAGUACUUCCGCCUCGUAAGUAUUUAUAUACUAUAGUAUUUUUUUGGUCAGAAUCUGCAAGAAAAUCACAUAUAAACACAGUAAACCUAAUAGGUUUAGAUUGAAGAAUGGUAACUUCUACAUGUGGAAAUAUAAGUUGGCAGUUUGACUAAAGAAGACUGAUAAUUGUUGGCUUACCCAUAUGGUGAAUGGGGCUUUUGUAACAUUUUCUUGUCUCGCUCUCUUUCUGAGAAUUGCAGGCAACACCUGAGUUAGAGUAUGGUCGGAUGAACAUCGGAAGCCGCCCAUCAAAAAGAAAGCCUAGCGGUGGAAUAGAAUCACUUCGAGCCAUUCCAUGGAUAUUUGCGUGGACGCAGACAAGAUUUCAUCUUCCUGUCUGGCUUGGCUUUGGAGCUGCAAUCAAGCAUGCCAUUGGGAAGGACAUUAGAACUCUUCAAACUCUCAAGGAUAUGUACAAUGGAUGGCCUUUCUUCAGAGUGACAAUUGACUUGAUUGAAAUGGUUUUGGCCAAAGGAGACCCAGAAAUUACUGCUUUGUACGACAAACUUUUAGUGUCAGAAGAUUUGUGGCCAUUUGGAAAGCAACUGGGAAACAAUUAUGAAGAAACUAAGAAUCUGAUCCUUCAGGUAAGGGCCUUCUUUCCAUUUUAAUACCUUUAUUCACUAAAACGUAACUGUUCUACAACCUUAAUGUGGAUGCUAUUGUUGUUUCCCAUCACGCUUUACACUAAAAACUGUGUCCUGCUAAAUGAAAGAUGAAAUGGAAACACUUUCUCAAUGUGUCACUUUUCUUUGUGAAUAUAUGGUAAUUACUUUUCGAGUAUGUGAAAAAUUGACGGUUAGUUGAUUUUUGUCAACCUCCAAGAAAUAGAAGGUGAAAAAAGAACGUUGAGCUGAGAAUGCAUGGUGGAUUUUAAUUUAUUUGUUUUGCAUGCACAUCGUUCUUUUUAUUUUGGUUAACGAUAAAGAAGUUCAGUUGCUACUAGUUCAUGAUUAGUUCGACUUCCAUUUAAUGGAAGUAAUGCAAAAUAUCCUGAAAUGGGAAGCUGUUACGGUCUCUUCUUAGGUUGCUGGACACAAGGAACUUCUUGAAGGAAAUCCCUACUUGAGGCAGAGACUCCGACUUCGGGAUCCGUACAUCACCGUCCUUAAUGUCUGCCAAGUCUACACGUUGAAGCAGAUACGCGAUCCAAGUUACCGUGUAAAGGUGAGGCCACAUCUCUCAAAAGAGAUAAUGGAAAUGGAUAUGAGAAAACCGGCUGCUGAACUGGUGAAGCUCAACCCUAAAAGUGAGUAUGCUCCCGGGUUGGAAGACACGCUUAUCUUGACCAUGAAGGGUAUUGCAGCUGGAAUGCAGAACACGGGCUAGGUCGGGUCAUCUUGCCCGUGCUAGAUAUAUGGUGUCGGUUAAAUUACAAGGAAAUAUCAAGUUAUAUAACGCGGCACUCGUUUGUUGGAUGCGAUAAUGUUGCCUGUAAGCAUGUACUUAACCAAGUAGCUUGCCCCAAAUAAAAUCUUAAAGCUUUUGUAUUUUGGUCAUUUGGUGCCUACCUUGAUAUGACAAUGCUCUGUGAGGGAUCAUCAAAGGUUUAAGAAUACGGAGAUUAAGAAUUUGCUAUUUUAUUUUGAAAUGAAG
RNAcentral lists this long non-coding RNA (4114 nucleotides) under Olea europaea subsp. europaea. Lineage: Eukaryota; Viridiplantae; Streptophyta; Magnoliopsida; Lamiales; Oleaceae. The record is from RNAcentral.